UACGGAGGAUGCAAGCGUUAUCCGGAAUCACUGGGCGUGAAGCGUCUGUAGGUGGUUUAUCAAGUCUGCUGUUAAAGCUUGAGGCUUAACCUCAAAAAAGCAGUGGAAACUGAUAGACUAGAGAAUGGUAGGGGCGGAGAGAAUUCGCAGUGUAGCGGUGAAAUGCGUAGAUAUUGAGAAGAAUACCGAUAGCGAAGGCGCUCUGCUGGGCCAUUACUGACACUCAGAGACGAAAGCUAGGGGAGCAAAUGGG
RNAcentral lists this ribosomal RNA (253 nucleotides) under uncultured bacterium. RNAcentral describes it as "partial 16S ribosomal RNA". It matches the Rfam family "Bacterial small subunit ribosomal RNA", at positions 524 to 776 of the family's 1533-position model. The record is from RNAcentral.